Molecule: ribosomal RNA, 1367 nt
Filed under: uncultured beta proteobacterium
Lineage: Bacteria; Pseudomonadati; Pseudomonadota; Betaproteobacteria
Description: bacterial SSU rRNA
Rfam family: Bacterial small subunit ribosomal RNA
Source: RNAcentral
UUGAACGCUGGCGGCAUGCCUUACACAUGCAAGUCGAACGGCAGCACGGGUGCUUGCACCUGGUGGCGAGUGGCGAACGGGUGAGUAAUACAUCGGAACAUGUCCUGUAGUGGGGGAUAGCCCGGCGAAAGCCGGAUUAAUACCGCAUACGAUCUACGGAUGAAAGCGGGGGACCUUCGGGCCUCGCGCUAUAGGGUUGGCCGAUGGCUGAUUAGCUAGUUGGUGGGGUAAAGGCCUACCAAGGCGACGAUCAGUAGCUGGUCUGAGAGGACGACCAGCCACACUGGGACUGAGACACGGCCCAGACUCCUACGGGAGGCAGCAGUGGGGAAUUUUGGACAAUGGGCGAAAGCCUGAUCCAGCAAUGCCGCGUGUGUGAAGAAGGCCUUCGGGUUGUAAAGCACUUUUGUCCGGAAAGAAAUCCUUGGCUCUAAUACAGUCGGGGGAUGACGGUACCGGAAGAAUAAGCACCGGCUAACUACGUGCCAGCAGCCGCGGUAAUACGUAGGGUGCGAGCGUUAAUCGGAAUUACUGGGCGUAAAGCGUGCGCAGGCGGUUUGCUAAGACCGAUGUGAAAUCCCCGGGCUCAACCUGGGAACUGCAUUGGUGACUGGCAGGCUAGAGUAUGGCAGAGGGGGGUAGAAUUCCACGUGUAGCAGUGAAAUGCGUAGAGAUGUGGAGGAAUACCGAUGGCGAAGGCAGCCCCCUGGGCCAAUACUGACGCUCAUGCACGAAAGCGUGGGGAGCAAACAGGAUUAGAUACCCUGGUAGUCCACGCCCUAAACGAUGUCAACUAGUUGUUGGGGAUUCAUUUCCUUAGUAACGUAGCUAACGCGUGAAGUUGACCGCCUGGGGAGUACGGUCGCAAGAUUAAAACUCAAAGGAAUUGACGGGGACCCGCACAAGCGGUGGAUGAUGUGGAUUAAUUCGAUGCAACGCGAAAAACCUUACCUACCCUUGACAUGGUCGGAAUCCCGCUGAGAGGUGGGAGUGCUCGAAAGAGAACCGGCGCACAGGUGCUGCAUGGCUGUCGUCCGCUCGUGUCGUGAGAUGUUGGGUUAAGUCCCGCAACGAGCGCAACCCUUGUCCUUAGUUGCUACGCAAGAGCACUCUAAGGAGACUGCCGGUGACAAACCGGAGGAAGGUGGGGAUGACGUCAAGUCCUCAUGGCCCUUAUGGGUAGGGCUUCACACGUCAUACAAUGGUCGGAACAGAGGGUUGCCAACCCGCGAGGGGGAGCUAAUCCCAGAAAACCGAUCGUAGUCCGGAUUGCACUCUGCAACUCGAGUGCAUGAAGCUGGAAUCGCUAGUAAUCGCGGAUCAGCAUGCCGCGGUGAAUACGUUCCCGGGUCUUGUACACACCGCCC